Molecule: long non-coding RNA, 1861 nt
Organism: Bos taurus (domestic cattle)
Lineage: Eukaryota; Metazoa; Chordata; Mammalia; Artiodactyla; Bovidae
Source: Ensembl
GGCGGGAAGAGGGAAGAUUUGUUGACCAUCAGGUGUCCUGAAUUGUCUUAAGCAGAGGAGGCCUGUGAGAAAAAGAAGCAAGAGACAAGGAAGUGGGAGCCAGGGCCCCGUCCAAGGGGGCUGGACCCUAAUUCAAAGACAGUGGGACCAUGGCUUCUGUGUCCAGUGCGGGGGUGUAGGGGCUGUGCUUCCAAAGGACACAGCCCAGACUGAAGGGGAUGGUCAGAGACGGGUCAUAGAAUCCAUCCUCUCACAACGCAGCAGAUGCCUGGCCCACUGCCAAGGUCGUGGGAAAGGGAGCGACCAGAGAUGGGGUGGGGGGCGCAGAGAGCUCCAGCAGAGAGGCGAACGAGAGCAGGGGCAGCGAGGGCUGUGGGAGAUGGAAAUCCACCUUCUCCAUGAGGGGGUGGGAUGGUGCUUAUACAGGACACCACCCGUAAAACAAAAAAGAGAAAAAGAAAAGGUGGGAUGAUAAAGUCCUUCUGGUCAUUUUACAAAAAAGUCCUGCAGGAGAGGAAAACCCUGUAGGAAAGGAGACUGGGGGUUGGGGGCUGGGGUUUGAGGUGGGCUGCAGGGCAGGAGGAGAGGAGGGGUUGGAGGUCGAGGGGAGGGGCGUGGGUGAGGGGGAGCAGGCGGGCCUCCGAGGAAAGCCUCCAGAGUCUGCCCCUUGGCCUGGGGGGACUGGUGACUAAAGCGGUCUCAAUGAGGGGCAGUACGUGGUGAGGAACAAAGUCCGGGGGGAUGUUAGGAGCUCAACUGCACUGAAUCAGAUCCUCUUGAAUGUAGCACAGUCGGCGGCAUCAGAUGAGAUAGUGAAAAGAGAAUUCCAUUCAGGUGGUUCACCUGCAGAGACUUGAAAGAGGGUGUGGGCAGAACUAAAGAGACUAACCCCCAGAGACCAGCAACAGCCGAAGCCACCCACCCCGGGCCUGAGCAGAGGGCAGUGAAGGUGGGACUGCGGCCCCAGAGAGGGCGGUCACACGGUCAUCAAUGUAGGGCCAGCACGGGGAUGGACAGAGAAGAAACACCCCAACUUCUCCCCCACUGCGGGCUCCUGGGUAGUGCUCACUGACUGAUCACAACAGAGAGUGGGGCGCGAGGCAGCCCAGGUGAUGUGAUUGUUCGGGACCACAGCCCUCCCAGGUGCCAAGCAAGGCAGGGAAGGGAUUUGAGGGCAGAGCAAAUGGAGAUGAACUGACACACACAGCUUGCAAGCAGCUUUCCCCCGAAUCCAUCAGAACACGAUGAUGUCGCUGGUGUGUGAUCCACACUGCUCUUCUCUCUGUGCGGGGGCAAUCAAGAGUAGAAGGAAGAGUUUCUCAGGACAUUGAAGUCAUUCUGCUUGUCAUCACCAAAAAUGUGCCGAGGCAGGAGAGAGGAGAAAGCCAUACUUGCGGAGCGCCUGUCUGAUGAGACGCUGUCAGGUCCGAGGGAGCGGAGAGAGGCUGAAAUGGCGGAGUCUGUUUCAUCAUGACCCUGCACCUUGUCCCUGAGACGAUGCGACACACAAACUGCUGGUUAUGAAUGUGUCAAUGUUUCCAUAGCCUCUGUACACAAGAGGAGUCAGCUGGAAAAGUAUGAACUCUGUGUCCAUAGCGUUCUGCUUAUUUAUCAUUUGCAAAAAGAUUAAGAGGAUAGUCCAGGGAUUUCUUCUUGGAGAAGAAAUGGAGAGAGAGUGAGAGGGCAUUUAUCUCAUCUCUAGGAAGAAAUCAGGGAGAACAGAAAGUUAAAGACUGCCAGGCAAUUCUCCAUCUCUCCAAACCUCAGGGGUUUUAGGACCAUAGGGUUUUAGAGCCAGAAGAGAUCUUGGAGGGAGCUGGGGCGACCAGGUGGCAGCCGGCAUCAGUGAGAGGUCCCAGGC